RNAcentral lists this ribosomal RNA (290 nucleotides) under Enterococcus faecalis. RNAcentral's name for it is "partial 16S rRNA". It matches the Rfam family "Bacterial small subunit ribosomal RNA", at positions 36 to 303 of the family's 1533-position model. Lineage: Bacteria; Bacillati; Bacillota; Bacilli; Lactobacillales; Enterococcaceae. The record is from RNAcentral.
CUGGCGGCGUGCCUAAUACAUGCAAGUCGAACGCUUCUUUCCUCCCCGAGUGCUUGCACUCAAUUGGAAAGAGGAGUGGCGGACGGGUGAGUAACACGUGGGUAACCUACCCAUCAGAGGGGGAUAACACUUGGAAACAGGUGCUAAUACCGCAUAACAGUUUAUGCCGCAUGGCAUAAGAGUGAAAGGCGCUUUCGGGUGUCGCUGAUGGAUGGACCCGCGGUGCAUUAGCUAGUUGGUGAGGUAACGGCUCACCAAGGCCACGAUGCAUAGCCGACCUGAGAGGGUGA